Mustela erminea (ermine) is the source of this 2725-nucleotide long non-coding RNA. RefSeq lists it as uncharacterized. NCBI's taxonomy places the organism in Eukaryota, Metazoa, Chordata, Mammalia, Carnivora, Mustelidae. The record is from RefSeq and is a predicted model, not a curated record. The transcript has 3 exons.
AGACCCCACGGCGCCAGACUCUGCCUUGACUUGAAAUCCUAGUUAAGGAUUUCAGGACAUUUGCAUCUGAAAUCCACUUUCCCUGGGAUUCAAACCUCCCCCCCACCAACUUUGUGUUGGGUCUGAGAGAGGGUGUGGAACCCAAGUGUUUAUUUCUUUGGUAUUGUCGACCUGUAGACAAAGCCAGAAAGUUUUCUCUGAAACUCAAGCUGUCAGAAUAGCGUACCUUUUUAGGGGGACUUAAGAGCUUUAAUUUCAAAUGCUGGGUCAUGUUUUCCCUGGCCUUCCUUCUAUGGGGCUUUCUGUAUUCACUGUGGUGCCGUCGUUAGCUGUCUGUAGGCAGAGCACGACUGUCCACAGGGUUCACUGGACCUGGGGUACAUUCGUUACCUGGGUUGUGCUUUAAAAAUAGCCCACACUUGUGCCUGGACGGACUUGUCUGCCGGGCUCAGGGCAGCUCGUCCCCUGCCUGGAAGUUUGCAUUCUGAGCAUCUGGGUGGAAGCGCCUUCUUGUGGCUGGUGCAACAGCAGCAACUAUGUCACCUGUUUCACUCCCAUAAAUUGAGGAUGUGUAUUUUGUGAGUGUGGGAGGAAUAACUGCUCCUUUCUUUUACGAGGUAACCUGCAUCCGCGUUCAGUGGUAGUUCUGUGGUGGUUGCACAAGAGGGUGGACUUGCUGUCUGCAGAAGUCUGUCUCAGAUGCUCAAGAUGUCUACCAACACAGCCGGCUUCAUCCAAUUACAACACUUUCUGCAAACUUGGCGGGAAUCUCACAUUGCUCUUUCUACUUGUCUUCUUACUCUUCUCAAGGAGGAAUAUUUAGAGUUGAAAUUUUAAGAAAAUGAACAGGUUGCUGGAGACAAGUUGUAACAUUAACCUGGUACAUGGAGUGCACUCAAGUGUAACUGCUUUCUUUGUAAAAGUGGUCAUAGCUUAAAGCUACAAGGAGCAACCCACCCUCCCACCCCAUCAGGAAGUGUUGGUUUUGAAAUUUGCACGAAGACUAUGGGCAGAUUUUUACCCCCCCACACUUCAAUUGCUCUCAUUGAAUAGUUUAAAAACGUUGUAACCUUAUUCUCGUUUCUUAGACUUUUCCCCUUUAAAUAGCGUUUUCAGGGUGAGUCUUAUGAAGGCAUCCGAGUACUGGUGCCCUCUGGAUUUUAAAACGGAGAGUGGUGUUUAUUCUUACAGAGGGGGAUGAAUUUGGUAAGACUAGAACCCAGAGCCCUGCCUAGUUAAGCCAGACUCCACCAGGCAUGCAAGAGUGCUUUGCGAUGUAAAGGCAGUGCGUAUUUCCAAGCAUUGUCCCAGACAGUUUUUCUCCAGUCCUUACAACAUCCUUGUGAAGCUGACAGAGCAGAUGUCUCUGUUCUGCUUCUCUGUGUACCAGAUCUCUGGCUCAAAGACGCUCGAUUGCUUGCUUAUACUCCCCAGCACGGUAAGUCACAAAGUUUGGGCUCACGGGUGCUUUUCCCACAAUUCAUUCAACGAACAUGUAUGGAGCAUUUUGUGUGCCGGGAAGUAGGCUUGUAAACAAAGUGGGUCUGUCAGAAAAUAAUGAGUCCCAGGGAUGAAGAGUACAGCCUAGGGAAUAUAGGUGAUAAUACUGUGCGAGGGCUGUAGGGUGUCCGAUGGGGACAGCACAGAUCGUGGUGAGCACUGCGGAGCGUACUGAACCGUCGAACCACUCUGUUGUGCACCUGAAACUAAUAUGACACUGCGUGUCAACUAAACUUCACUAAUUAAAAAAGGAAGAAAGACUAUGUGGGUCUGUCUAAAAUUGGGUCUGGAGGUUACAGUCUAGUGAGCAAGUAAGCCAACACAAUGUUAGACUGUGAGGAAGGAAGCUCACUGGGCAUUGAGAUGGAGAAAAAUAUGUGGGGGGGGCACCUCGGAUAAUUGGAUAAUCAAUGGAUGAUCGGAUAAUCCAUGAGAAAGACCUGAAGCCCGCAGGAGGAGAGGGGGCCGGGCAAUGUGUGGCUGGGGUGUGGGAGAGGAUAGGAGAUGAAGAUUUGUGAGGGUCUCAAAAAUUACGUUCAGAGUUUCUGUAAUCAUUGCACGUUCAGUUUUCCAAUCCUGUUUUAAUGCUUGAUUUUGAAUUAGGAAAAUUACUUGGGUAAUUUCAUCCAUGUACUAUUCUGUCUCGGGAUUCGUGUCAUUAUUCAGUAGAUUGGGGUCUGUGCGUAAUAAAAAAGCAGCAAAUAUGAUCCUUGGCCUUCAAAAGCUUUCAAUUUAAUUAGGAAGACAAGGUGUAUCUCCAUGAAACCAACAAGUAAUUGCCACUUGUAGUUAUCUAGAAAAUUCUAAAGGCAGCAUAUAAUCAAGCCUGUAAUGUAACAUGAAUUAUAUAUAAAAUGUUGCAAGAACACACAGAGGAUGGUUUCAGGCACAUUCAUGAAGUCAAGAAGAGUCUCUCAGAAGAGUUGUCAGGAGUUGGACCUUGAAGGAAGUGUUGGCUGCUGCCCUCGUACCAGAGCACCAGAAAGAUAAGACACUUGGAUGGGGCUGUAUAGACCAGAGCGAAAGUGCAUGAAUAAAGCCACAGAGGAAAGGAACAAGCCGAAGGGAGGGUAGGAAUGGUGAAAAUAAUACCAAUAACUACCGGUUAUCGAAUUCCUAUGAAGAACAAGCACUUUGGUGGGAGCCUUACAAAAAUUGUCUUAUUUAAAUCUUUUCCUUUCCUUUCCUUUUUUCCUUCUUUCCUCCUUUCUUUUUCCUGCCUUCC